This 400-nucleotide long non-coding RNA is filed under the name Mus spicilegus (steppe mouse). RNAcentral describes it as "lncRNA (ENSMSIG00000001758.1)". The record is from RNAcentral. Lineage: Eukaryota; Metazoa; Chordata; Mammalia; Rodentia; Muridae.
UGCCUUCCUAGGUUCACCUGUGAGAACUUUUUGAAAUAUUACUAGAACUUGGAGAACUUUUCUCCAAUUGAAUCCACUGCUAAGGGUUCAUAUCUCUAAGCUGGGACUCAUCAAAUCGGGGGAUGGGGUGUCUCUUGCAGUUCCUCACUUAUCACCUGCCCCCUGUCCUCACACAGGAUUGAUAGCUUCUGCUGUGGUCUCCUGGGGAAGGCCUUCCAGCCUGCGGCAUUUGUAACUCUGCUGUCACCAAGUGUUAUAGAGGUCACCCCGGAGAAGACUCUUGCUCAGGGACAGAUGUAGCCUCACUCAUUGGGAUGAGCCAGGACCCUGGUCAGUGGGCACAGUUACAGGUGCCGAGGAGUCUUAGAACUGUCCAAGCAGAACAGAGCUAAAAGGGACC